RNAcentral lists this ribosomal RNA (468 nucleotides) under uncultured bacterium. Its description in RNAcentral is "partial 16S ribosomal RNA". It matches the Rfam family "Bacterial small subunit ribosomal RNA", at positions 28 to 507 of the family's 1533-position model. The record is from RNAcentral.
GACGAACGCUGGCGGCGUGCUUAACACAUGCAAGUCGAACGGAAAGGCCCUGCUUUUGUGGGGUGCUCGAGUGGCGAACGGGUGAGUAACACGUGAGUAACCUGCCCUUGACUUUGGGAUAACUUCAGGAAACUGGGGCUAAUACCGGAUAGGAGCUCCUGCUGCAUGGUGGGGGUUGGAAAGUUUCGGCGGUUGGGGAUGGACUCGCGGCUUAUCAGCUUGUUGGUGGGGUAGUGGCUUACCAAGGCUUUGACGGGUAGCCGGCCUGAGAGGGUGACCGGCCACAUUGGGACUGAGAUACGGCCCAGACUCCUACGGGAGGCAGCAGUGGGGAAUAUUGCACAAUGGGCGGAAGCCUGAUGCAGCAACGCCGCGUGCUGGAUGACGGCCUUCUGGUUGUAAACCGCUUUCGCCUGUGACGAAGCGUGAGUGACGGUAAUGGGUAAAGAAGCACCGGCUAACUACGUG